AUGGUCGGUCCUGAGGCGAGGCGGAUGCGGCCUACGCCUCAGGCCAAAAGCUGAAGGGGGCCUCGUUUCCUUGGCAUUUUUUUUUUCAAUUAAAUAAAGAAAGUAAAUUGAAUGAAGAAAUCAUUUUCCUCUCCAGCUCAUCUAUGGUUGCUGGGAAGUUGAAGAAUAUUCAGGAAAUCAUUCCUUGUUGGAAACAAAGUCCACUGCCAUUGAAGGAUGGUUCUAGAAUUGAUGCAACCACCUCCACCGUCAUAGUAGAAUUGUAGAACCAUCAGCCACCGACCUUGCAUUUCUAUCUAUGUGUGUGUUGCUGUAUUUUUUUUAUUUAAGUAGAAAGUGUGUGAAGAACGUGUGUGGAGAGAAGAAUGAGUGGAGAGCAGGACAUCAGGAAAGAAAGUGAGGAGAGACGGAGACUGACUAUGGAAAAUAUAGUGAGAGAAACGAAAAACAAGGAAAAAUUAGUGGAAGAAUUUUUGGUGUGUGCCUGAGAG
This 491-nucleotide long non-coding RNA is filed under the name Olea europaea (common olive). RNAcentral's name for it is "long non-coding RNA (OEUR_LNC010636)". Lineage: Eukaryota; Viridiplantae; Streptophyta; Magnoliopsida; Lamiales; Oleaceae. The record is from RNAcentral.